This 560-nucleotide ribosomal RNA is filed under the name uncultured bacterium. Its description in RNAcentral is "partial 16S ribosomal RNA". It matches the Rfam family "Bacterial small subunit ribosomal RNA", at positions 355 to 905 of the family's 1533-position model. The record is from RNAcentral.
UGAGGAAUAUUGCGCAAUGGGCGAAAGCCUGACGCAGCGACGCCGCGUGGAGGAUGAAGGUUUUCGGAUUGUAAACUCCUGUUAAGUGGGAAGAAACGACAAAAUAUAAUACAUUUUGUAACUGACGGUACCAUUAAAGAAAGCACCGGCUAACUUCGUGCCAGCAGCCGCGGUAAUAUGAGGGGUGCAAGCGUUAUUCGGAAUUAUUGGGCGUAAAGGGUGCGUAGGCGGCGUAUUAAGUCAACUGUUAAAACCUCCAGCCUAACUGGAGAUCAGCAGUAGAUACUGGUAUGCUAGAGGAUGGAAGAGAGAAGUGGAAUUCUUGGAGUAGCGGUGGAAUGCGUAGAUCUCAAGAGGAACACCAAUGGCGAAGGCAGCUUCUUGGUCCAUAUCUGACGCUGAUGCACGAAAGCGUGGGGAGCAACCAGGAUUAGAUACCCUGGUAGUCCACGCCGUAAACGAUGAUCACUAGAUGUUAAUUCUGCUUGCAGAAUUAGUGUCGUAGCUAACGCGAUAAGUGAUCCGCCUGGGGGACUACGGUCGCAAGAUUAAAACUUAAA